Molecule: long non-coding RNA, 2847 nt
Filed under: Canis lupus familiaris (dog)
Lineage: Eukaryota; Metazoa; Chordata; Mammalia; Carnivora; Canidae
Description: lncRNA (ENSCAFG00000050751.1, ENSCAFG00845005672.1)
Source: RNAcentral
UUUUUUUUUUUUUUCCUCUUUUUUUUUCUCUUCUGCAAUCUUUUGUAUUUGCACAUAGGCUAGUAGAUGUGUUUUCUGAGAUUCUUUUUAUUUAUUUAUUUAAUUUAUUUUUAAAAAAUAUUUUAUUUAUCUAUUCAUGAGAGACACACAGAGAGAGGCAGAGACACAGGCAGAGGGAGAAGCAGGCUCCCUGCAGGGAGCCCAACGGGGGACAUGACUCCAGGAUUAUACCCUGAGCUGAAGGCAGGUGCUUAACCGCUGAGCCACCCAGGUGUCCCAGAAUCUUUUUUUGUUUUUUUAUAAAGAUUUUUAUCUAUUUUAUUUGAGAGAGACUGGAAGAAAGCAUGUGAUUUGGGGGGAGGGGCAGAGGGAGAGAGAGAAUCGCAAGUAGACUGAAGAGGGAGCCUGACAUGGGGUUCCAUCUCAGGACCCUGAGGUCAUGACCUGAGUCAAAACCAAGAGUCAGAUGUUUAACCAACUGAGCCACCCAGGUGCCCUCUGUUUUCUGAGAUUCUUAAAUUCUUCCAUCAGCAUAUUUCACCCAUUUUCUGGGCUCUGUUGACAAGUUAGGAAAGGAACCACGUAAGCAGCGGAGCUAUUUCUUGUUCUAUAAAUAAAGACCAUUAAUAAAUUUAAUUCUGUGCAAAAAUUAAGAGGAAAGGGUGUACAAAACAAAAUAUCUUUUCCAGUAGUUGAGUACUGCAUACAUAAUUAGGUGUUCUUUUCAAAUAUCAAACAAUGAACAUCAGCUAUCUAGAAACCCUUUUUGGAUUUUUUUUCUUUUAAGGAACUAGUUCUGUUGCUUGUUUUUAUUUCUUGCAUUUUUCCAUUUAUGACUCAUCUUAUGCCUCUUGUGCUCGGUGUAAUGAAUACAGUUCUAUACCUUACAUUUCCAGACACUCAUUUGUAGUGUGCAGUACUUUCCAGGUUUCAGAGCCUUCCCUCCUUAACCCUCUGCCUCACUGGAACUUUGUGGUGAUACAGGCAAAGCAUCUGCUGCUUUCCAAACUGGGAAACUGAAGCUCAGGGAGAUGAAGUGACUUGCUCAGCAGCUAAGCUGGGUCCGAAACCCAGGUACUCUGACUCCCAAUAUUUUGGGCUUUCUGUUAUGCCAUCCUGCCUCCCCUCUUGUGUUUGCUUCCUUGUGAAGUUUACCACAAUUUCUCAAAGUCAGACUUAAAUUUUAGGUUGGCUUUGGCAGGAUGAUCGUAAAUUUGCAUUUCUCUAUACUCACUGAAGAAUGUAAAUAGGUACUUUAUUUCCCAGUCAAUACUGUUUGCAGUCAUUUGUUUGAAAAGUACGCAUUGGUGAUGGAUGUUAACUAGACUUAACAUGGUGAUUGUUUGUUUUGGCAACCUAUGCAAAGAUUGAAUCAUUAUGUUGUACACAUGAAACGAAUACGAUGUUACAUGUCAAUUACAUCUCAAUAAAAAAUACAUAUUGGACAUUGAUAUGAGCGAGGCAUUGUCAUAGCUUCUGGAUACAACACGGGAAAAAAGGCAGGAUCUUGACUGUUAUGAAAUCUGCAAUCCAAACGCAGAAUUUUUUUUCAGUGUAGGGUGAAUUACUAAAUGUCAUCCUUCUUGGAUCAGUUGGAGGGAGAGUGUUUGUGAACAGCCUUCUUGGAGAAGUCAUGUGUACUAUAUGCUUGAGGUCAUUGAUUUGGCUUGGUCAAUGGUUCAGGUGAAGACCUUUCAUGAAUUUUCUAAAAUGGUAUACAGUUGUAGUGAUUGGAACAUGAUGCCAUUGAUCGUCUUUGAAAUUGAUUUGGAUUUCUCAUUGUAUAAAGCAUGGAUGGUGUUGCUCUUGAGAAAACAUGUGAAAAUGAUUUCUGUUUAGAGAUUUUGCUAAAUCAAGACAGUAUGCUUGCAACAUACCAUCUAACAAUAUGUAAUAUUUGUUGAAUGUCAGGUUUGCAGUGAAUGCUUUGUAGAGGGAGGCAUUAUCAUCAUCAUCUCUAUUUUGCAAUCGAGGGACCAAGCCUUAGAGAUUACAUAAUUUAUUUACCAAGUGUCAGAGUUAGAAUUUGAGCCUUUGAGAUCUAAUUCCUCAGCUUUUGCUUUGACCAUUAUGCAGUAAUCCUCAUAGUGAAAGACACCUGAUGAAAUAGAUGAAGGUUAGUGAUGCAUGUUAGGGUUUGAUUCUAAGAAACUUAGAGAAGUUGAGAGCACUAGCUAUAUCAGUGUAUCACAGACUCCUUGUGUUUUUGCAAUUGUAAUACCACUCCUUCCUUGGUCUAGGUAUUUCAUAAAUGAUAAAUGAUAAAUAAAUAUCAUGUACAGUACUAUCAAUGUAUUUUCUCUUUCUUAUGAUUUUCUUAAAAAUAUUUUCUCUGGCUUACUUUAUGGUAAGAAUACAGUGUAAAAUACAUAUAACUAACAAUUAUGUGUUAAGUAACUCUUUAUGUUAUCAAUAAGGUGUCCAGUCAAGGGUAGGUAAUUAGUAGUUAAGUAUUGGGGGAGUUCCAAAGCUAUAUGUGAAUUCUGACUGUGCUGGGGGUCUGUGCCGUUAACAUCUGUGUUGUUCAAGGCUCAACUCUAUUUCAAAAAAUAGGUAGUCCAUCAAGAAGCUUGGAAAACUAAAAAAGUCCACAUUUUGGAAGUGUAGUCUACUUAUUUCACAAAAAUCUGAAGACUGAAGACAACUGUUUAUUACAUAUAAAUGUAGUCUUCACUCUUGCUUUCAUUUUGUGAUUGACAAGUUAGUGUUAAUGGUAUCCGACCUUUAGUUUUUUGUUGUUGCUUUCACCAACUUGUUUAGAGUGGGGGGGGAAAUUCUGAUUUUUGCUUUACUUUUUCUUUGGAGGCUAACUGAAAACCUUACAAAAAUCUUUCAGAGCCUUCUCUA